UACGUAGGGGGCAAGCGUUGUCCGGAUUUAUUGGGCGUAAAGAGCGUGUAGGCGGCCAUGUAGGUCCGUUGUGAAAACUCGAGCUCAACCUCGAGACGCCGAUGGAAACCCCUAGCGUAGAGUCCGGAAGAGGAGAGUGGAAUUCCUGGUGUAGCGGUGAAAUGCGCAGAUAUCAGGAAGAACACCCGUGGCUAAGGCGGCUCUCUAGUACGGUACUGACGCUGAGACGCGAAAGCGUGGGGGAGCGAACAGG
RNAcentral lists this ribosomal RNA (253 nucleotides) under uncultured bacterium. Its description in RNAcentral is "partial 16S ribosomal RNA". It matches the Rfam family "Bacterial small subunit ribosomal RNA", at positions 524 to 776 of the family's 1533-position model. The record is from RNAcentral.